Molecule: ribosomal RNA, 257 nt
Filed under: uncultured Pseudomonas sp.
Lineage: Bacteria; Pseudomonadati; Pseudomonadota; Gammaproteobacteria; Pseudomonadales; Pseudomonadaceae
Description: partial 16S ribosomal RNA
Rfam family: Bacterial small subunit ribosomal RNA
Source: RNAcentral
CGGCGGACGGGUGAGUAAUGCCUAGGAAUCUGCCUGGUAAUGGGGGACAACGUUUCGAAAGGAACGCUAAUACCGCAUACGUCCUACGGGAGAAAGCAGGGGACCUUCGGGCCUUGCGCUAUCAGAUGAGCCUAGGUCGGAUUAGCUAGUUGGUGAGGUAAUGGCUCACCAAGGCGACGAUCCGUAACUGGUCUGAGAGGAUGAUCAGUCACACUGGAACUGAGACACGGUCCAGACUCCUACGGGAGGCAGCAGCC